UACGUAGGGUGCGAGCGUUAAUCGGAAUUACUGGGCGUAAAGCGUGCGCAGGCGGUUGGUUAAGUCUGAUGUGAAAGCCCCGAGCUCAACUUGGGAAUGGCAUUGGAAACUGGCUGGCUAGAGUGUGGCAGAGGUGAGUGGAAUUCCGAGUGUAGAGGUGAAAUUCGUAGAUAUUCGGAGGAACACCAGUGGCGAAGGCGGCUCACUGGUCCGGUACUGACGCUGAGGUGCGAAAUCGUGGGGAGCAAACAGG
This 253-nucleotide ribosomal RNA is filed under the name uncultured bacterium. RNAcentral describes it as "partial 16S ribosomal RNA". It matches the Rfam family "Bacterial small subunit ribosomal RNA", at positions 524 to 776 of the family's 1533-position model. The record is from RNAcentral.